UACGAAGGGGGCUAGCGUUGCUCGGAAUUACUGGGCGUAAAGGGCGCGUAGGCGGAUUGAUAAGUUGGAGGUGAAAGCCCAGGGCUCAACCCUGGAAUUGCCUUCAAUACUGUCAGUCUUGAGUAUGAGAGAGGUGUGUGGAACUCCGAGUGUAGAGGUGAAAUUCGUAGAUAUUCGGAAGAACACCAGUGGCGAAGGCGACACACUGGCUCAUUACUGACGCUGAGGCGCGAAAGCGUGGGGAGCAAACAGG
Molecule: ribosomal RNA, 253 nt
Filed under: uncultured bacterium
Lineage: Bacteria
Description: partial 16S ribosomal RNA
Rfam family: Bacterial small subunit ribosomal RNA
Source: RNAcentral